CUACGGGGGGCUCCAGUGGGGAAUAUUGCACAAUGGGCACAAGCCUGAUGCAGCCAUGCCGCGUGUAUGAAGAAGGCCUUCGGGUUGUAAAGUACUUUCAGCGGGGAGGAAGGGAGUAAAGUUAAUACCUUUGCUCAUUGACGUUACCCGCAGAAGAAGCACCGGCUAACUCCGUGCCAGCAGCCGCGGUAAUACGGAGGGUGCAAGCGUUAAUCGGAAUCACUGGGCGUAAAGCGCACGCAGGCGGUUUGUUAAGUCAGAUGUGAAAUCCCCGGGCUCAACCUGGGAACUGCAUCUGAUACUGGCAAGCUUGAGUCUCGUAGAGGGGGGUAGAAUUCCAGGUGUAGCGGUGAAAUGCGUAGAGAUCUGGAGGAAUACCGGUGGCGAAGGCGGCCCCCUGGACGAAGACUGACGCUCAGGUGCGAAAGCGUGGGGAGCAAACAGGAUUAGAUACCCGAGUAGUC
RNAcentral lists this ribosomal RNA (464 nucleotides) under uncultured bacterium. Its description in RNAcentral is "partial 16S ribosomal RNA". It matches the Rfam family "Bacterial small subunit ribosomal RNA", at positions 339 to 795 of the family's 1533-position model. The record is from RNAcentral.